Molecule: microRNA precursor, 207 nt
Organism: Oryza sativa Japonica Group (Japanese rice)
Lineage: Eukaryota; Viridiplantae; Streptophyta; Magnoliopsida; Poales; Poaceae
Rfam family: MIR812 microRNA precursor family
Source: Rfam
CAAAAAAAAAACCAUGGGUUUUCGUGUCCAACGUUUGACUGUCCGUUUUAUAUAAAUUUUUUUUAUAAUUAGUAUUUUCAUUGGUGUUAGAUGAUAAAAUAUGAUUAAUAUUUUAUGCAUGACUCGUCUUUUUAAUUUUUUUAAUAAUUUUUUCAAAUAAGACGGACAGUCGAACAUUGGACACGGAAAUUCAGGGUUUGUCUUUUU